Molecule: ribosomal RNA, 380 nt
Filed under: uncultured Anabaena sp.
Lineage: Bacteria; Bacillati; Cyanobacteriota; Cyanophyceae; Nostocales; Nostocaceae
Description: bacterial SSU rRNA
Rfam family: Bacterial small subunit ribosomal RNA
Source: RNAcentral
CGCAAUGGGCGAAAGCCUGACGGAGCAAUACCGCGUGAGGGAGGAAGGCUCUUGGGUUGUAAACCUCUUUUCUCAGGGAAGAAGAUAUGACGGUACCUGAGGAAUAAGCAUCGGCUAACUCCGUGCCAGCAGCCGCGGUAAUACGGAGGAUGCAAGCGUUAUCCGGAAUGAUUGGGCGUAAAGGGUCCGCAGGUGGCAUUGAAAGUCUGCUGUUAAAGAGUCUAGCUCAACUAGAUAAGAGCAGUGGAAACUACAAAGCUAGAGUUUGGUCGGGGCAGAGGGAAUUCCUGGUGUAGCGGUGAAAUGCGUAGAUAUCAGGAAGAACACCAGUGGCGAAGGCGCUCUCCUAGGCCGAGCCUUUCUCUGAGGGACGAAAUCUA